This 207-nucleotide ribosomal RNA is filed under the name uncultured bacterium. RNAcentral's name for it is "partial 16S ribosomal RNA". It matches the Rfam family "Bacterial small subunit ribosomal RNA", at positions 568 to 774 of the family's 1533-position model. The record is from RNAcentral.
UGUGCAGGCGGUUUGUUAAGUCGGAUGUGAAAGCCCUUGGCUCAACCAAGGAAGUGCAUUCGAAACUGGCAAACUAGAGUACGGCAGAGGAGAGCGGAAUUCCCAGUGUAGAGGUGAAAUUCGUUGAUAUUGGGAGGAACACCGGUGGCGAAAGCGGCUCUCUGGUCCGAUACUGACGCUGAGACACGAAAGCGUGGGGAGCAAACA